This 252-nucleotide ribosomal RNA is filed under the name uncultured bacterium. Its description in RNAcentral is "partial 16S ribosomal RNA". It matches the Rfam family "Bacterial small subunit ribosomal RNA", at positions 524 to 776 of the family's 1533-position model. The record is from RNAcentral.
UACGGAGGGAGCGAGCGUUAUUCGGAUUACUGGGCGUAAAGCGUAUGUAGGCGGUUUUUUAAGACAGAUGUGAAAUCCCAGAGCUUAACUUUGGAACUGCAUUUGUGACUGGAAGACUCGAGUAUCGGAGAGGUUGGCGGAAUUCCUAGUGUAGCAGUGAAAUGCGUAGAUAUCGUGAGGAACACCAGUGGCGAAGGCGACACUCUGGAGAGCAACUGACACUGAGGCACGAAGGCCAGGGGAGCGAACGGG